AAAAAAAAAAAAACAAACAACAGUUCAGCUCCUUCCUUUUCUCUGAGAUUGUGUAUAUUCUCAAUAUAGUAUAUUCAUACAUUGAAAAAUAUGCAAAGAAUCUGCUUGGUGAGAAAGUUGCUACUUCCUACCCUCAGCCUGGCUGGCUGCAUGGGCAGAUCAGAAAGAAGACAAGUAUCUUGAAGCAGGACUCCUUAGUUCAGUCCCACCCCCAGCAGAUUUUCAGGGGACACUGAACUAUAGUUAAUAGGGAAGAUAAUGUGACCCAAGGACAGCACAGGAUCAUGGCAACGCUGGUGUGAUGUGAAGAAUGAGUUUGUUCCUCAUAAUUCCUGUGCCAUGUGACAAGGUGGAAGAUGUGCCAGGCAUAACCUUUCCCAAAGAGAAGGACCCGUGGUACCUGGAGGAGGUCGCCCGUCGUUUAUGUUGAAGGCUGUUGCAAAUAUACCAAAGGGAAAGGCCCCAAUUCCAAAGGACAUCUGGAAGCCACCAUCACCAAACCCAAAGCCCUGGAAUCCCUGCAGAGAACAAAGAACAGAAGACAAAACAGGUUGUACUGAAAAAUGGCUGACCUUCACUACAUCCAAGAAGCAAGAGUGGCAGCAGAUGAACAGUUAAGAAACAAGAAACUCAUUUGAAAGUAGGCUUCCUAAAUAAAUACAGAAACCUGGUGGAGCAUGAAGACAUGGAAGUGG
Long non-coding RNA from Serinus canaria (Common canary), 695 nucleotides. RefSeq lists it as uncharacterized. The transcript has 3 exons. NCBI's taxonomy places the organism in Eukaryota, Metazoa, Chordata, Aves, Passeriformes, Fringillidae. The record is from RefSeq and is a predicted model, not a curated record.